GCUCCAAUAGCGUAUACUAAAGUUGUUGCAGUUAAAAAGCUCGUAGUCUGAUUUCGGGGUGCAAUUUUUUUUCCGCCUGGUUUAGUGGCACAGAUUGGGUGAUUUAUCUCCUUUGUGUGUCUGCUGGCUGGUGGAUGCACCUCUUUUUUCCAUUUAUCCUGUGGAAGGCAUUGAUUUGUUUUCUGCGUUUUAGGAUGUUU
RNAcentral lists this ribosomal RNA (200 nucleotides) under uncultured eukaryote. RNAcentral describes it as "partial 18S ribosomal RNA". The record is from RNAcentral.